GUACCUUCAAGCUUUGCUUGGUGUUGGGCGUUUUUUGUCUCCCUCUUGCUGGGAGACUCGCCUUAAAACGAUUGGCAGCCGGCCUACUGGUUUCGGAGCGCAGCACAUAUUUUGCACUCUGUGUCAGGAGAAAAGGACGGUAAUCCAUCAAGACUCUACAAAUUUUAAC
This 169-nucleotide unclassified non-coding RNA is filed under the name uncultured Pleosporaceae. RNAcentral describes it as "sequence contains ITS2". Lineage: Eukaryota; Fungi; Ascomycota; Dothideomycetes; Pleosporales; Pleosporaceae. The record is from RNAcentral.